Molecule: long non-coding RNA, 1151 nt
Organism: Camelus dromedarius (Arabian camel)
Lineage: Eukaryota; Metazoa; Chordata; Mammalia; Artiodactyla; Camelidae
Exons: 2
Source: RefSeq, a predicted model, not a curated record
UGCCCACCCGGCCCGGGCCACGGCGCCUUCCCAAUCUGAGCCCCCGAACAGCCUGGUCAGGGGACUGGCCCAGCUGGGGAGGGGUGGUCAGGCCAUGGCUCCAGUGGUCAGAGACAGGGAAACAGCGCUGGAACCUCUCCUCUCAAAUACAGUGAAGCCCCUUCCCAGGGAGGCCGCCCCAGGGUGCCACAGUGGGGCUCUGGGUCUGAGACCUCGGGUGCCCACGCUCAGGGACAUGCCCGUGAAAUAAGGCAGGCACGUCGUGCUCCCUGGAUGGGCCGCCUGUUUUCUGCAGCACAUCCAAGAGGCAGUUUGGCCACAGACGUGUGUGAAAAACAGACCACGUGAGGACGCGGUGAGAAGGCAGCCACGUGCAGGUCAAGGGCAGCUGCCUCCGGAGAAUCCACCCCACUGACACCUGGAUCUCGGGCCUCUGGCCUCCAGAACCGUGAGGAACCACACGUCCGUUGUGUGAGCCACUGCCUGUGCUAUCUUGUUGCUGGCAGCCCUGGCGAACGAACACACCUGCCAACAAAACCCUUGUUUCUAGAGGACGGUUGUUGCAGACGGAGGUUUCCAAGGACAUAAUCACACCCGCCCCCUCCUGGGCCUGGCCACAGGGUCUCUACGUUCAGAGGAUCCAAGGAUAAACACCGAGCUGUUGCCCUUUAUUUUCAUUUAAUCGCCAUAGUAAUCUGUUUUAGAGAUGACAAAAUCCUCAGACAUUAACUUGCCCGGGGUCACCCAGGUUGUAGUGGGAAGCAGGAUUCAAACUCCCUUCUGACUCCAGGUGCCACCUCCUUCUCCCGGGCUCAGAGAGCUGACGCGGGUGCAGGGGAGGCCAGGGGACGGGGCUGGGCCUGGCGCGGAGAACGGUGAGAAGACUGGUCCGUCCGUCCCACUGAGUCCCGCAGUGGUGGUGAGGCUUCUUCCACAACCCAUCCGGAAAAAACGCACUUCUUCCGUAAAACUCUCCAACAUACUCCACGAGGCAGGACGUCUCAUCACAUCACACACCACCCUUGUGCCGGAAGCUCUCCUUAACGAGUUUACCUGAUGGACCAAGGGAGCUUGUUCGUGUACAUUCCGGUCUUUGCCAAGCGACUCCUAACCACACUGUUAUUUUUUCAAAAUACAUUUUAUUAGUGGCA